CUACUCCUGUGUUUUAUUUUUGGCUUUGCCAACGAUUCGAUGUGUGGAGAGAUGUGUGAAGCGAUGAGACAGUUGCCUCAGUUUACCGGUGCGUGAGAUCGAAGCAGUUGAGUACAGCACGAACGAGAAGGAAGUAGUAAGCAUAGAGAAUUAAUACGGAUGAAUGUGUAAGGAAUUAUUUAGGUGGAGGAACAAGGAGUUGCAGCAACCCUGGCGGGUCGGACGUUGGUGAGAGGCACUGACACUGUCAGCUGAUCAACGAUGGAAGACAACAUCGUCUAGUAACAAGGAUUGUCUCCGCGGUCAGUCAAUCUGCCGGCUGUCAGAUUUUAGUCUUUUUUCUUCAUAGUUGUGUCAGACUACAACUUGAACCCUCAACGUCUACGUAGACGAAGAUUUCCAUUCUUCAAGAGGCAGACCGUGAGAGCCCUGUUCACGACUCUAUCAUGAACGCCUUUCAAAGCAUAUUUAGAUAUUUUCGUGGAUACUGGUCACAAGGUACACCACAGGAUGAAAAAGAACAACUGGAGGAUGAAACUUUCUAUGACGCACCUGAGGACGCUCUUGAAGAUGAGUCUGAUGAAG
This is a long non-coding RNA of Pomacea canaliculata, 585 nucleotides long. RefSeq lists it as uncharacterized. The transcript is spliced from 3 exons. The record is from RefSeq and is a predicted model, not a curated record. NCBI's taxonomy places the organism in Eukaryota, Metazoa, Mollusca, Gastropoda, Architaenioglossa, Ampullariidae.